CCUACGGGAGGCAGCAGUGAGGAAUAUUGGUCAAUGGGCGAAAGCCUGAACCAGCCAAGUCGCGUGAGGGAUGAAGGUCCUAUGGAUUGUAAACUUCUUUUAUAAGGGAAUAAAGUGUGGUAUGUGUCCUGUUUUGUAUGUACCUUAUGAAUAAGGAUCGGCUAACUCCGUGCCAGCAGCCGCGGUAAUACGGAGGAUCCGAGCGUUAUCCGGAUUUAUUGGGUUUAAAGGGUGCGUAGGCGGCCGUUUAAGUCAGCGGUGAAAGUCUGUGGCUCAACCGUACAAUUGCCGUUGAAACUGGGGGGCUUGAGUGUGUGAGAGGCAGGCGGAAUUCGUGGUGUAGCGGUGAAAUGCUUAGAUAUCACGAAGAACCCCGAUUGCGAAGGCAGCCUGC
Molecule: ribosomal RNA, 394 nt
Filed under: uncultured bacterium
Lineage: Bacteria
Description: partial 16S ribosomal RNA
Rfam family: Bacterial small subunit ribosomal RNA
Source: RNAcentral